Molecule: ribosomal RNA, 497 nt
Filed under: uncultured bacterium
Lineage: Bacteria
Description: partial 16S ribosomal RNA
Rfam family: Bacterial small subunit ribosomal RNA
Source: RNAcentral
GAUGAACGCUGGCGGCGUGCCUAAUACAUGCAAGUCGAGCGAACAGACGAGGAGCUUGCUCCUCUGACGUUAGCGGCGGACGGGUGAGUAACACGUGGAUAACCUACCUAUAAGACUGGGAUAACUUCGGGAAACCGGAGCUAAUACCGGAUAACAUGUUGAACCGCAUGGUUCAAUAGUGAAAGACGGUUUUGCUGUCACUUAUAGAUGGAUCCGCGUCGCAUUAGCUAGUUGGUAAGGUAACGGCUUACCAAGGCAACGAUGCGUAGCCGACCUGAGAGGGUGAUCGGCCACACUGGAACUGAGACACGGUCCAGACUCCUACGGGAGGCAGCAGUAGGGAAUCUUCCGCAAUGGGCGAAAGCCUGACGGAGCAACGCCGCGUGAGUGAUGAAGGUCUUCGGAUCGUAAAACUCUGUUAUUAGGGAAGAACAAAUGUGUAAGUAACUAUGCACGUCUUGACGGUACCUAAUCAGAAAGCCACGGCUAACUACGUG